GGAUAAAAGAUGGAUAUUUUUUUCCUGGAGAAGCUAAAACAAUGUAACUUUGAGGUUCUGAUACCAGCUUUUACAACGUUAUUUACAGAGUUCACCAGACUUCUCUGUGGUAUUUCCUGACCAUGCCGAAAAGCUAUUUGAAACUUGGGCAUUGCAUUUUCCAGACAGAAUCCUGCAACUUCCCAGCCAAGAACCAGGAGCAUCAACAAAUCACCUCCAGAACCCCAUGAUGAUAUUCCAACUCCUGUCUACAAAAGUGGGAAGAAAAUCUUAAGUCUAUGUUGGGACCAACAUGGUUGCAUUCUUCUGAGAGGCUGAUGUGACAAAACCAUUCCCAUUUGUCCUUGGAUUGGAAGAUGGCGAUCUCUGCCAUCAAGCCUUCGUUGUUUUUGACAGACAGUCACUCCAGCAAUACACCCUCCUUGGUGAUGUUGACAUGUUUUGAACUUUUUUUUUA
Paramisgurnus dabryanus is the source of this 457-nucleotide non-coding RNA. The record is from RefSeq and is a predicted model, not a curated record. NCBI's taxonomy places the organism in Eukaryota, Metazoa, Chordata, Actinopteri, Cypriniformes, Cobitidae.